UGAAAAUUCAACAAAAAAUAAGGUCAAUCCUUUCAAACACUGCAGUUGAUUUACUUGCCAAACCAUUCUCCACAAACAAUCAUAUGCUAUGCAUCACAAAUCUAAAUAGGAACAAGCAUUAACUUUAUGUACAGAAAAGAUAUUCAAACCACAAGACAAGUUUGGGUGAAUCACAAUGAAUUCAUAUCUGCUUCAGUCACACAUAUUCAACAAGAGGACUACUGCAAGUACUCAAAAUACCAAAUUCAAGCUAAACAUCAAAUUAGUUCCUCAUGAUAUAAACUCUCCUCCGCUCUGACUCAAAAUGGUACCAUAAUUACUACUCAAAAACUAGAGAACGCUGCAAUUACAAAGCCAAUGGCUAGAGAUCCAACAGAGAUCGAUAUCCCAUGAGAACUUGAGGCCCCCGGAGACGGUGCUGGUGCUUGCACGUUCAAUCCAGAGUUCGUGCCAGGUGCAGUAGCAAUAGAGGGUGGGGUUACACCUAAGACAGCAAUUAGCCAGUUUGAUCAAAGUUAUCAACUUGACAAGUGAAUUGGCCACACAAAAUGCAAAACUGCACACAUGUCUCCUCACCCCACAAAAAUUAAGAAAUCCAAAAACAAGUAUACCUUUUCACUUUCCUUUCCAUACUCUAGUUUUAUGAACUGAAUCCACUGAACAAAGCCAGCAUUUUUUUGCACACAAGCACAUGAAGAUACAUUUAGUGAAUGUUAGAAAUAAGUCUCCCCAUCAAGCAAUGGUGGGGUUGGUGGGGGGACCUUACAUUUCCUCCCAUUUUGCCAAUGAAAAGCUAGAUACCACAUUUAAUGUAUAAACACAAAAGACUAAAGAAAACUAUUCUUACCUGCCAUCUAGCCCACAGAUUUUAUUGUAAUUAGACACCUUACCCAUGUAAUCUACUUCACUAUAGAUCAGUGUAAAAGUAAAUCACCAAAUUUGGCACUUCGAUUAUUUGGAAUAUAGAUCUUAAACAAAAGCAAAAUCAGCAUUUUAUUCAUGAGAAAACUCUGUUUUUGAAAGGUUAAGUAAAAGCAAAUUUACACUUCCAUGAGAAUAGAAAAUUCAACUACAAAUUUGUUUCAAUUCCCUCUUGAUUACCAAAUUGAAUUGCUUCAGAUCUUCAAUAGGCCAAAAUAUACCAUAACUCUCUCUCUCUCUCUCUC
RNAcentral lists this unclassified non-coding RNA (1166 nucleotides) under Hevea brasiliensis (rubber tree). Lineage: Eukaryota; Viridiplantae; Streptophyta; Magnoliopsida; Malpighiales; Euphorbiaceae. The record is from RNAcentral.